Molecule: transfer RNA, 77 nt
Filed under: Elusimicrobiales bacterium
Lineage: Bacteria; Pseudomonadati; Elusimicrobiota; Elusimicrobia; Elusimicrobiales
Also listed under: 1 other name
Description: tRNA-Arg
Rfam family: tRNA
About the family: Transfer RNA (tRNA) molecules are approximately 80 nucleotides in length. Their secondary structure includes four short double-helical elements and three loops (D, anti-codon, and T loops).
Source: RNAcentral
GCCCCCGUAGCUCAACUGGAUAGAGCUGCUCCGUCCUAAGGAGAAGGUUGAUGGUUCAAGUCCGUCCGGGGGUGCCA